Non-coding RNA from Taeniopygia guttata (zebra finch), 4627 nucleotides. The record is from RefSeq and is a predicted model, not a curated record. Lineage: Eukaryota; Metazoa; Chordata; Aves; Passeriformes; Estrildidae.
CGCCGUGAGGGACCGGACACGGGGCGGGGACCGUGAGGGGGACGCCGUGAGGGACCGGACACGGGGCAGGGACCGUGAGGGGGACACCGUGAGGGACCCGACACGGGGCAGGGACCGUGAGGGGGACGCCGUGAGGGACCCGACACGGGGCAGGGACCGUGAGGGGGACGCCGUGAGGGACCCGACACGGGGCAGGGGGACACGGGGGCCUGGGGAAUACGGACAGCGGGAAUGGGGGCUCUGUGGGUGACAGGCCUGAGUGGUGGUGGGACCCCAGAGCAUGGGGACCCAAAGGAUGGGGUCACUAGGGAGUGGAGAGCUGAUGUGGGGACCCAGAGGUUGCACCUGAGUGGGGAAUGGGGCUUGGGGGACAUCAGUGACAGGGCGGUGGGGGUCCAGGCAACAAAACAAGGGUGGUGGGGACCUGUGGAGAGAGGGGGUGGGUGACACGCCUAUCCCUCGCAGCCCCCCAAAUCACCAGAUAUAUGGGGGUCUUGAGGGAAGGCAGGUCAGGUGUUGGGCAAAGAUUCCCAACAGAGGCUUCCAUUCCCCUGAUGUGGUUAAGCUGUUUGUUCGGUGAGAUGAAGGGGGAAGAGAGAGAAGCAGGAAGGGACAGAGCCUUAUCCAGGGAGGGACCUGGCGGCUCAGCCUGCAGAAAAGGAGGCUCAGGGGGGACCUUACUGCUCUCCACAAGGUCUGACAGGAGGGUGCAGCUGGCUGGGUCAGGCUCUGCUCCCAGGGAACCAGCCACACGACAAGAGGACACAGCCUCAAGCUAUGGGAUGUUUAGUUUGGACAUUCCUUCCAUUAGAAGGAAUUUCUUCAAAGAAAGGGAUUGAAGGUGGUGGUGGGGUCACUGUCCCUGGAGGUGUUUAAGAAAAGACUGGUCAUGGCACUCAGUGGUGUUCAGUCAGAGGCUGAAGUUAAUAUCUCAGAGGUCUUUUCCAGCCUAAGUGAUUGUGUGAUCAAUUAAAGCCCUAUGUCCCCCUCAGCACGCAGCAGGGAGUGGUGUUUCUCUUUGGUUAGCAGCAAGGACUGCCUCCACUGAACUUGGCAGGGUUUUUCACUGCUGUCUGAGAUGACUCGGUGAGGCAAAGGCAGAGCUCUUCUCAGUCACGGUGCUUCUGCAGUUCUCUGCUGCUGCAGCCCAGCCCACUGGCAAGGAUGGCAGAUCAACUUUAAUUUGGAACAGUUUCAUCUCUGAAGCACCUUAUUAAUACCACAGAAACAUUAAACAGAAGUUUGCACUACAAAAGUGGAAGUAAGUUAAAAUCUGAAAAUGUGACCUCUGUCUUCAAGCCUGUCUUAGCUCAUAAAUCUGUAAUCAAGGCCUAAGGUUGUUACAUUUAUGCCAAACAGCCCCAAAACACAGGAUGAGCAGGAUACUUUCCUGAACUUGGAGACUGGAGGCACCAUCUGUGCUCACAUGUAGUUUUUACUGUACCUUAUUUCUUAACUUUGAAUACUUCAUUUUGAAAAUUUGCUUUGUGUUUUAUCUUUUAAAAGAGCUGUGAUUAUACUGGCAGCAGCACUGACAUGGUUAUCGUGAAUCCCACAGUUACAGAAAGGACUGCAAAACACAGAUCACUCAGAUCAGACGACCUAAAGAGUGGGAAAUAAACAUAAAAAGCUCACUUACCAUGACAGUUCUGGAAUUGCACCAGGGAUGACCUUGUCUCUGUGGGCUCUCCCAGCUCACAAAUCCUAAAGCAUCACCUGCACCAGAGCGAUGCCCAGCAUUGCUGCCCUUGCAUUGGAACAGAGAGCCCCUCAGCUGAGCCCAAGCUCUUUUCCUCUCCAUCCACUGGUGGUUUAAGCAGACAUUUGAUUUUUCUGUUCCGAGUUUGCCUGUAACUAUUCAUAGCAGCUAAUUCCCCACACCCUCGGGACUCUGAUGUCAGCACCAGCCAAACCCGAGCUCAGCAUGGUGAGCUGCCUCAGGGGCUGCCACCACCACAGCACAGCUCACACACACCCAAGAGGAGGAAGUCCAUCUCACUUUUUCAAUUAAAGAAAUCUCUUUAUCUCGUAAGAUUUGUAAAAUGGUAUUUGUUUUUUGAGGCUGCCGAGUACUUUGUGCAGUAUUCAUAAAAGCGCUUACUGGCCAUCCUCCUGUCAGUGUCACGUGCAAAAGUUUUCUGCACUUUUGCAAUUAACACCAGUCCAUAAUACACAUCACAAAGAAAGCCACUGAACAGGCAACAAAUGGCAGCUCAGCUUUGCUAGUGAUCUCAGCAGAGGCUACAGUGGUCAUGGCCACUGAACCUUUCCACACACCAGUAUUUGCUUCCAGUGUAUUUAAUGAUUCAUCACCCUAGAAACCUCCAUUUGGUUGGGUACAUGAGGCAUUUCUUAUUUCCCUUCAAAGCUCCAUUCCCUUGCUUACCAUAUAGCUCUACUUUACACCUCUCACAUUUAAGUUAAUUUUUCUGAAAAUUUUUACACCCAGCUGUAGAAAUACUCCAGAGAAGUUUACACUCCUUGUAAGAUGGCACCAAUGUUUCCUUCAAAUUGUUAAAAACUUCUCACCUUCCAGGACUGCAUUAUGUUUUCUACCCCAAUUAUAUUCCAAUGUUUUAUCACAUUCAUCUUUCACCUGGUAAGUGCACUCAGGUUUUUUCCCACCUCUGCUACUUCCAGUUCACAAAGCCCCAGGUUACAGGUGAGGUUAUUACUGAACCCAGAGCAUCUGGUUUGUACAGUAUGAGACUUAUUUAUAUGACAUCACCAGCAAGCUGGUAAAAAAGUUAGCCUCAUCCUUUUUGAACAUCCACUCAGUCUUCCUCAACAUUGGCAAUGCCUCCCAAUUUGUCUUACCCAGGAAUUUCACCUCACCACACUGGUAAAUAUAUUAAAUAGACCAGGUCCCAGCUGCCUCAGCAAGUAUUUACUGUCAAUACUGCACACACUUCCUGGUGACAUUAUCAGCUGAAUUGGAACUCCCCUCUAAGAAAGACUCACUUAAUAUGAAGAGGAAGUUUCUUUUUUCUGCUUUAUUUAAGGAUGGUGAAUGCUGAUGCAAGAUCUGGUGAUGAAUGUCAGCUUUCUUGUACCAUGAAACAUAUUAUUGUCAUUGUUCUCCUGCUUCAUUUGGUCUAAAAACAGCUUCCUAUUACUAUUAUGCUACACCAGGUCAGGCUAUUUUUAUGGACAAAUAUACAGGAAAAAAGCAUGUGUUUAUAUUUUUAAUUCCUGGUUGCAGCAGUAAGUAAAACAUACAGUGAAUAUCAGGAUCAAAUCAUAGCAUCUGUCUGUUAGGAUUUGUUGGUAUAGAGCUGUCACCCACACGGCUCUUUGUCUGGUAUUAAACAAGACAAGUGCAACAGAGAAACAUGAGAAGUGUUAAUAAUGCUGCAAGUCAGCUGCAAAGAACUUCCAAAGCUAGGCCUAGGAUGCAAAAUUUUCAUCAAUUAAAUUGAAAGCUGUAUUUUUAACAAUAAAUUUUUAAAAAUUCUUAUUUGAGUUAAAAAAAGCCAAACUUUACAUAUCUUCAUUUCCAUAUCUUCCUUUUCCCUAUCUUCUUUUCUUCCUUUCCAAGUAAAUACUGCUUUCUUAUUAUAUCAGAUAUGGCACAAAAACCACUGCUCUUGGUUUGGCUGUGAACCUUGCUCUGUUUUUCAGAGAUGUUAUUGAACUAAACAACACAAGUUAUGAUUUUGCCAGGGGCUUUUAUGAAAGUUAACCCUGAUUAGAGGAAUAUCCUCCCAUGUCUAGGUAGGAACAUAGAGAGUCUCUGACUUGGUUAAAAGUGCAAUGCACAGACCUAAGAUCAGCUCUGUCCUUCAGACAAAUGAUUCAACCUCCACACAUGAGGUCUGUGUGUCAUAUAAAGAGCAGAAAGAGAAGCCUGAGGGGAAAAAGGAAGUUUCCCAAGAAAAGAAGAUUUUCAGUUGGUGUACAAAGCUGCCUCUGCAGUGGCCCUGCCUGGGCUGUGUUUAACACCAGCCCAGGGGCUCAGGGCAGGCACUUCACCCCAGCUUCCCAAAAAAUCACUGAAGGGUGUCCAGCUCCUCCAGAGGCGCUUCAGAGCAGAAGCCAUAUGUGUGGACUCUGAAUUACUUUCUGAAAUAACAUCCUCUGUGUUUAAUCUUUCAAUAGUCCAGGAAACAUUGCCUUCCUCAUUUAGGCACCUGUGUUAGGCACAGGUUAGGCCAUCAGAAUUGCCUUACACAUCUUUUCCCCUGAGCCUCUGCACCCCAUCUCUGAUACCAUGACAAAUUUGGCUGAAGCUGAAGUAGCAGAUUUUAUCAGAGCAGUAACUGGUUCAACCACACUCUUCCUGCUCUGACACUUCUGGGUGUUUGCAUGCCUAAACAGCACCUCAGGCUUUGAUCCCCUCUCGAGAGCACGCGCUCUUAAAUGUGACUAUUUUUGGUUCCGUGUCUGUGACCAUCUCCUCCAAGAUGAAAGAGCAUGGGAUGACGAUGCCUACGUAUGCUUGUGGAUUGCUUUCAUCCUGCUUUGUGAAAAUCCUUUUACAGGAAGAGUACACUGCAUUUUUACGGACACGCAGUGACUGUUAGCCUCCUGUAUUUCACCUGAAUGUCAGUUUAUUUACUUGUAAUUUGUCACACUUUGAUAAAAUCAUUUCCCAUUUCUGAGAAGACAGCACACCGAUUAAUAAAAA